CAGUAGCCACGGGAAUACGGAGGGGGCUAGCGUUGUUCGGAAUUACUGGGCGUAAAGCGCACGUAGGCGGCUUGGUAAGUUAGAGGUGAAAGCCUGGAGCUCAACUCCAGAAUUGCCUUUAAGACUGCCGAGCUAGUAGGUGAGAGAGGUAAGUGGAACUCCGAGUGUAGAGGUGAAAUUCGUAGAUAUUCGGAAGAACACCAGUGGCGAAGGCGGCUUACUGGCUCAUUCUAGACGCUGAGGUGCGAAAGCGUGGGGAGCGAACAGGAUUAGAUACCCGCGUAGUCCCUGUCUCUUAUAC
Molecule: ribosomal RNA, 301 nt
Filed under: uncultured bacterium
Lineage: Bacteria
Description: partial 16S ribosomal RNA
Rfam family: Bacterial small subunit ribosomal RNA
Source: RNAcentral